Molecule: ribosomal RNA, 354 nt
Filed under: Triticum aestivum (bread wheat)
Lineage: Eukaryota; Viridiplantae; Streptophyta; Magnoliopsida; Poales; Poaceae
Description: partial small subunit ribosomal RNA
Source: RNAcentral
AUGGAAGAUCCACCGUCUCCACCUACUACAUGGACAGCUACAUAUCGUGAAAGGGCCUCAAGACCUUCCGAAAGCUGCACAAACAUGGCGUCAUCGAUCUUGGGGCUGACCAUUCAGAUGGCGGAGAGCCUCAUUAACACGGGCUUCUCCAGCCGCCGGAUGGACAUCCCCCAGCAUUCCUUCGUGCUCGUUGUAGUCACCCGCUCCGAGUCGCUCAACCUCAGGGCGGCCAUCGACGCCACCAAGCUCGCCAGCACGCUCGUCUCGCUAGACGGCGCCAAGGUGAUCACCUUCUACAUAGGUGUGGUCUUCAGCUUCAUCCAGGUCACCGUGCAGUGCAACCUCGCUGGCUAG